RNAcentral lists this ribosomal RNA (486 nucleotides) under uncultured bacterium. Its description in RNAcentral is "partial 16S ribosomal RNA". It matches the Rfam family "Bacterial small subunit ribosomal RNA", at positions 30 to 507 of the family's 1533-position model. The record is from RNAcentral.
AUUGAACGCUGGCGACAUGCCUUACACAUGCAAGUCGAACGGCAGCACGGGUGCUUGCACCUGGUGGCGAGUGGCGAACGGGUGAGUAAUACAUCGGAACAUGUCCUGUAGUGGGGGAUAGCCCGGCGAAAGCCGGAUUAAUACCGCAUACGAUCUACGGAUGAAAGCGGGGGACCUUCGGGCCUCGCGCUAUAGGGUUGGCCGAUGGCUGAUUAGCUAGUUGGUGGGGUAAAGGCCUACCAAGGCGACGAUCAGUAGCUGGUCUGAGAGGACGACCAGUCACACUGGAACUGAGACACGGCCCAGACUCCUACGGGAGGCAGCAGUGGGGAAUUUUGGGCAAUGGGCGAAAGCCUGAUCCAGCAAUGCCGCGUGUGUGAAGAAGGCCUUCGGGUUGUAAAGCACUUUUGUCCGGAAAGAAAUCCUUGGCCCUAAUACGGUCGGGGGAUGACGGUACCGGAAGAAUAAGCACCGGCUAACUACGUG